RNAcentral lists this ribosomal RNA (253 nucleotides) under uncultured bacterium. Its description in RNAcentral is "partial 16S ribosomal RNA". It matches the Rfam family "Bacterial small subunit ribosomal RNA", at positions 524 to 776 of the family's 1533-position model. The record is from RNAcentral.
UACGUAGGGUGCGAGCGUUGUCCGGAAUUAUUGGGCGUAAAGGGCUCGUAGGCGGUUUGUCGCGUCGGGAGUGAAAACUCAGGGCUUAACCCUGAGCCUGCUUCCGAUACGGGCAGACUAGAGGUAUGCAGGGGAGAACGGAAUUCCUGGUGUAGCGGUGAAAUGCGCAGAUAUCAGGAGGAACACCGGUGGCGAAGGCGGUUCUCUGGGCAGUAACUGACGCUGAGGAGCGAAAGUGUGGGGAGCAAACAGG